Molecule: ribosomal RNA, 811 nt
Filed under: uncultured rumen protozoa
Lineage: Eukaryota
Description: bacterial SSU rRNA
Rfam family: Eukaryotic small subunit ribosomal RNA
Source: RNAcentral
UUCAAGGUAUUCGGAUGUAGCUACCGUCGAGGCAUGCCAGAGUUCUAUCAAGACGAAGAUAGGGAUCAAAGCAAUCGAUCGUUCGGAGUCCAUCUAACUAGCCGACUAGGAUGGAAUGGCAAUACAUCCAGUACCUUACGCGAAAUCAAGCCUUGGUCCGGGGGGAGUAUGUCGCCAAGACUGAAACCUAAGAAUGACCGAAGGGCACCACCAGAUUGGAGCCUGCGGGGGUGAGUGUGACGCAACACGGGAAACCUACCAGGUCCCGCCCAUAGUAAAGAAUAGACAAGAUGGAUAGCUCUUCCUGAUUCUAUGGGUGGUGGUGCAUGGCCGUCUAGUUGCGUGGCUGCGGCUGGGUCUGGUAGUCCCGAUACGAACGAGACCUAACCUGCUAAUUAGUCGUCUCAUUUUAUGGGGUAUGACUUCUUAGAGGGACUAUGCAUAUCAAGUGCAUGGAAGUUUGAGGCAAUAACAGGGACAAAGAAAAACAUUAUAUGUCCUGGGCUGCACGCGUGCUACACUGAUGCAUACAACAAGUGCCUAGCUAGACAUAGUAUGGCAAUCUGGAAUAUGCAUCGUGAUGGGGAUAGAUCUUUGCAAUUAUAGAUCUUGAACGAGGAAUUCCUAGUAAGUGCAAGUCAUCAUCUUGCAUUGAUUAUGUUCUCUUCCCUUUGUACACAGCAAAGGGUCGCUCCUACCGAUACCGGGUGAUCCGGUGAACCUUUGGACCUUCAUGGAAAAAUAAGUAAACCUAUCACCUAGGAGAGAAGUCGAACUUAAUCGGACCCGGGUCUGUGGUCAGAGGCUGCAU